Molecule: small RNA, 1226 nt
Filed under: Cryptococcus neoformans H99
Lineage: Eukaryota; Fungi; Basidiomycota; Tremellomycetes; Tremellales; Cryptococcaceae
Description: Cryptococcus neoformans var. grubii H99 hypothetical RNA
Source: RNAcentral
CAAACAUAGCUCUUGUUGGUGACAGGAGCGAAUUGGCCGAGGUUUGAGCCAGCCUUGAGGAACUCGACAGGAUCCUGAUGGUCUUCGACAUAACCAACACCUCCCACAGCCUUAUCUGUGCUAAUUCAGUUCCAAUCCCUUCAUAAGGCUCACAAAUUACUUACAAUAGCCAGCAAUCCUCAGAAUAUCUUCAGGAAAGGUUUUAGCAAGCUCGAGUGGUGUGGAGAGAACCUCUUCUUGGUCUUGCCUGAAAUAGUCUCUCUGGCCAAAGACAGCGAAAAGGGUCCUCAAAGCAUCUGGAUCAGAUUUCUCGCAUUGGUUCUCGCCUGCACCGUGAUAACAAGACCCGAGGGUGAAGAGAGCGUCCCCAGCCUCCAUCUCAGCAUAAGUACACUCCUCGAUCUUGGGGGCACGGUCAGGACUCCAGAGGUGAGAGCCAGGGAUGACAGCAGUGGCGCCGUUUUUCUUGGUACAUUUGGACCCGGCAAUGAGGCAGCCGACCAUGGGGGUGAAAAGGGGAUUAGUAGGAUCGGGCCGAAUUUGAUAGGCGAUUUGGUCCUGUUUUGAAGUCAAUUGCUGAAACUACAUGGCAUAAAAACGGAGGCAAGAGCACCUACCCGAUGAAGUGGUUGUUUCUGGGCACCUGGAACCAGUCGAAGGGCAGCUGUUGAGGCCAGCAUAUAGCCGCUCUUUUGGGGAAUCAACUUCUCGCCAGUGUAUGAAGAAUACUCGUCGCUAAAACAGGUACAAGUCUCAGUAGUAAUUCAGUUGAGCAAGGGAUAAACUCACUUGAGGAACCGUGCCAUAACGCCCUGCCAGGUCGGAAGGCGUACAAUCUUGGUGAUAACCUGGGGAAUUUUACCAAGCAGACCAUAAAUUCGAAGAGAACCAGAAGGGAAAAAGUCUUCGCCGAGCUCCUGAUGAGUCGACUUGGAUUCAUAAUUGCCUCGCACAGCAAAAUGAGGCUCAAUGGAGCUCAUGGCUUCUUGAAGGAGCUCGGAUGAGAGGAAGUUGCGAAUGAUGACACCGCCAUCGCGCUCGAUGACUUUGUAAAUUUCUACAAGAGGGGUAGAGGCUUCGAGGUAAGUGAGAGAUGCUGGCUUGGUCAUUGUGUAGAAGUAUGGUGGAACUGCAAUGUUUGAAAAGUUGAGUGGGUAAACUAGAUAAUAAGAGGAAGCUUGUUUGUUGUAUCCAGUGCUUGCUGCACGUCGACUAUAUGUAUAUCG